This 494-nucleotide ribosomal RNA is filed under the name uncultured bacterium. RNAcentral describes it as "bacterial SSU rRNA". It matches the Rfam family "Bacterial small subunit ribosomal RNA", at positions 8 to 507 of the family's 1533-position model. The record is from RNAcentral.
AGAGUUUGAUCAGUGCUCGAGACGAACGCUGGCGGCGUGCUUAACACAUGCAAGUCGAGCGGAAAGGCUCCUUCGGGGGUACUCGAGCGGCGAACGGGUGAGUAACACGUGAGUAAUCUGCCCUUGGCUUUGGGAUAAGCCCCGGAAACGGGGUCCUAAUACCGGAUACGACGCACUCUCGCAUGGGAUGUGUGUGGAAAGUUUUUUCGGCCAGGGAUGUGCUCGCGGCCUAUCAGCUUGUUGGUGGGGUAAUGGCCUACCAAGGCUUCGACGGUAGCCGGCCUGAGAGGGUGACCGGCCACACUGGGACUGAGACACGGCCCAGACUCCUACGGGAGGCAGCAGUGGGGAAUAUUGGACAAUGGGCGGAAGCCUGAUCCAGCAACGCCGCGUGAGGGAUGACGGCCUUCGGGUUGUAAACCUCUUUCAGUACCGACGAAGCGCCGAUGAUGGUGGUGACGGUAGGUACAGAAGAAGCACCGGCCAACUACGUG